Physeter macrocephalus (sperm whale) is the source of this 873-nucleotide long non-coding RNA. RefSeq lists it as uncharacterized. The transcript has 4 exons. The record is from RefSeq and is a predicted model, not a curated record. NCBI's taxonomy places the organism in Eukaryota, Metazoa, Chordata, Mammalia, Artiodactyla, Physeteridae.
AAAAAAAAAAAACAAAAAACAGUUUUCUUCAAAGAAAAUAAAGCAGUCGAUAUUUGCAGCUGACUGCCUGCAUGCAGGAUCCCCAACCAGGGAUCAAACUCGUGCCCCCUGCAGUGGAAGUGGGGAGUCUUAACCGCUGUACCGCCAGUGAUUCAUAUUGCUUUAGAAUCUGUGGCAUUUGUGUGUCUAUGGCCCUGUAUUAUUUGUCAGGCUGACAAUGCCUUGCCACCAGACUGCAAGUUCCAUGCAGGCAAGGACCACGUCUGUCUCUCUGCCUGUGUAGUCCUCCUACACAGAAUCAGCCAUGGACAUUAGCUGAAUGAAUGAGAAAUGGGAUUGGAGCCACAGGAUAAGAGGCAAGAUGAAAACACAAGCGAAGUUCUGUUCUCCUGAGUUUCUCAACUGAACAUAUUUUUACAGAUCCAUAAAAGCAAUAAUCUCUAUCUCUGUGAAACCCUAUCUCCGGGACUUCCCUGGUGGCACAGUGGUUGAGAAUCCACGUGCCAAUGCAGGGAACACGGGUUCGAGCCCUGGUCCAGGACGGUACCCCAUGCUGCGGAGCAGCUAAGCCCGUGCGCCACAACUACUGAGCCUGCGCUCUAGAGCCCGUGAGCCACAACUACUGAGCCCCCGCCUGCCACAACCACUGAAGCCCAUGUGCCUAGAGCCCGUGCUCCACAACAAAGACAAGCCACCGCUAUGAGAAGCCCACGCACCGCAACGAAGAGUAGCAUCCGCUCACCGCAACUAGAGAAAGCCCGCGCGCAGCAACAAAGACCCAAUGAAGCCAAAAAUAAAAUAAAUAAACGUGUAAAUGUAUAAAUAAAUAAAUAAAUAAUAAUACUUAAAAAAAAACCACAACCCUAUCUCCAU